CUGGUUGAUCCUGCCAGACCCGACUGCUAUCGGAUUGGGACUAAGCCAUGCGAGUCAACUCCGCAAGGGGUGGCGCACGGCUCAGUAACACGUAGUCAACCUACCCUGGGGACGGGGAUAACCUCGGGAAACUGAGGCUAAACCCCGAUGGGCCAUGGCUCCUGGAAUGGGCUAUGGCUGAAAUCUACAUGGCCCCAGGAUGGGACUGCGGCCGAUCAGGUUGUUGGUGGGGUAAUGGCCCACCAAGCCUAUAACCGGUGCGGGCUCUGAGAGGAGGAGCCCGGAGAUAGGCACUGAGACAAGGGCCCAGGUCCUAUGGGGCGCAGCAGGCGCGAAACCUCCGCAAUGGGCGAAAGCCCGACGGGGUCAGUCCGAGUGGUUCCCGCUGAGGGAACCUUUUGCCAGCUGUAAACAGGCUGGCGAAUAAGGGGUGGGCAAGUUUGGUGUCAGCCGCCGCGGUAAUACCAGCACCCCGAGUGGUCGGGACGAUUAUUGGGCCUAAAGCAUCCGUAGCCGGCCCAGUAAGUCCUCCGUUAAAUCCAACGGCUCAACCGUUGGGCUGCGGGGGAUACUGCUGGGCUAGGGGACGGGAGAGGCGAGGGGUAUUCCCGGGGUAGGGGUAAAAUCCACUGAUCCCGGGAGGACCACCAGUGGCGAAGGCGCCUCGCUAGAACGUGCCCGACGGUGAGGGAUGAAAGCUGGGGGAGCGAACCGGAUUAGAUACCCGGGUAGUCCCAGCCGUAAACGAUGUAGGCUCGGUGUUGGGCUGCCUCAGUGGCAGCCCAGUGCCGCAGGGAAGCCGUUAAGCCUACCGCCUGGGGAGUACGGCCGCAAGGCUGAAACUUAAAGGAAUUGGCGGGGGAGCACCAC
RNAcentral lists this ribosomal RNA (870 nucleotides) under uncultured archaeon. Its description in RNAcentral is "bacterial SSU rRNA". It matches the Rfam family "Archaeal small subunit ribosomal RNA", at positions 4 to 882 of the family's 1478-position model. The record is from RNAcentral.